UACGUAGGGUGCAAGCGUUGUCCGGAAUUAUUGGGCGUAAAGAGCUCGUAGGCGGUUUGUUGCGUCGGCUGUGAAAUCCCGAGGCUCAACCUCGGGUCUGCAGUCGAUACGAGCAAACUAGAGUGUUGCAGGGGAGACUGGAAUUCCUGGUGUAGCGGUGAAAUGCGCAGAUAUCAGGAGGAACACCGGUGGCGAAGGCGCACAUCUGGCCCGAUACUGACGCUGAGGCGCGAAAGCUAGGGGAGCAAACGGG
RNAcentral lists this ribosomal RNA (253 nucleotides) under uncultured bacterium. RNAcentral's name for it is "partial 16S ribosomal RNA". It matches the Rfam family "Bacterial small subunit ribosomal RNA", at positions 524 to 776 of the family's 1533-position model. The record is from RNAcentral.